RNAcentral lists this ribosomal RNA (807 nucleotides) under Serinibacter salmoneus. Its description in RNAcentral is "bacterial SSU rRNA". It matches the Rfam family "Bacterial small subunit ribosomal RNA", at positions 84 to 899 of the family's 1533-position model. Lineage: Bacteria; Bacillati; Actinomycetota; Actinomycetes; Micrococcales; Beutenbergiaceae. The record is from RNAcentral.
ACUCUGGAUUAGUGGCGAACGGGUGAGUAACACGUGAGUAACCUGCCCCAGACUCUGGGAUAACUCCGGGAAACCGGGGCUAAUACUGGAUAUGACGCCUGCCUGCAUGGGUGGGUGUGUAAAGGGUUUCUGGUUUGGGAUGGGCUCGCGGCCUAUCAGCUUGUUGGUGGGGUGAUGGCCUACCAAGGCUUUGACGGGUAGCCGGCCUGAGAGGGUGACCGGCCACACUGGGACUGAGACACGGCCCAGACUCCUACGGGAGGCAGCAGUGGGGAAUAUUGCACAAUGGGCGCAAGCCUGAUGCAGCGACGCCGCGUGAGGGAUGACGGCCUUCGGGUUGUAAACCUCUUUCAGUAGGGAAGAAGCCUUUCGGGGUGACGGUACCUGCAGAAGAAGCGCCGGCUAACUACGUGCCAGCAGCCGCGGUAAUACGUAGGGCGCAAGCGUUGUCCGGAAUUAUUGGGCGUAAAGAGCUCGUAGGCGGCUUGUCGCGUCUGCUGUGAAAUCCUCAGGCUCAACCUGGGGCGUGCAGUGGGUACGGGCAGGCUAGAGUGCGGUAGGGGAGACUGGAAUUCCUGGUGUAGCGGUGGAAUGCGCAGAUAUCAGGAGGAACACCGAUGGCGAAGGCAGGUCUCUGGGCCGUUACUGACGCUGAGGAGCGAAAGCAUGGGGAGCGAACAGGAUUAGAUACCCUGGUAGUCCAUGCCGUAAACGUUGGGCACUAGGUGUGGGGUCCAUUCCACGGGUUCCGCGCCGUAGCUAACGCAUUAAGUGCCCCGCCUGGGGAGUACGGCCGCAAGGCUAAAA